GCCUAUGUAGCUCAGGGGUAGAGCACUUCCUUGGUAAGGAAGAGGUCCCGGGUUCAAAUCCCGGCAUCGGCU
This is a transfer RNA of Porphyromonas sp., 72 nucleotides long. It matches the Rfam family "tRNA". Rfam says of the family: Transfer RNA (tRNA) molecules are approximately 80 nucleotides in length. Their secondary structure includes four short double-helical elements and three loops (D, anti-codon, and T loops). The record is from Rfam. Lineage: Bacteria; Pseudomonadati; Bacteroidota; Bacteroidia; Bacteroidales; Porphyromonadaceae.